RNAcentral lists this ribosomal RNA (485 nucleotides) under uncultured bacterium. RNAcentral describes it as "partial 16S ribosomal RNA". It matches the Rfam family "Bacterial small subunit ribosomal RNA", at positions 28 to 523 of the family's 1533-position model. The record is from RNAcentral.
GACGAACGCUGGCUGCGUGCUUAACACAUGCAAGUCGAACGCUGAAGCCGACAGCUUGCUGUUGGUGGAUGAGUGGCGAACGGGUGAGUAACACGUGAGUAACCUGCCCCUGAUUUCGGGAUAAGCCUGGGAAACUGGGUCUAAUACCGGAUACGACCACCUGACGCAUGUUGGGUGGUGGAAAGUUUUUCGAUCGGGGAUGGGCUCGCGGCCUAGCAGCUUGUUGGUGGGGUAAUGGCCUACCAAGGCGACGACGGGUAGCCGGCCCGAGAGGGCGACCGGCCACACUGGGACUGAGACACGGCCCAGACUCCUACGGGAGGCAGCAGUGGGGAAUAUUGCACAAUGGGGGAAACCCUGAUGCAGCGACGCAGCGUGCGGGAUGACGGCCUUCGGGUUGUAAACCGCUUUCAGCAGGGAAGAAGCGAAAGUGACGGUACCUGCAGAAGAAGUACCGGCUAACUACGUGCCAGCCGCCGCAGUAA